ACUGCAUGGUGACCGGCUACGACUGGUGGG
This 30-nucleotide non-coding RNA is filed under the name Homo sapiens (human). Lineage: Eukaryota; Metazoa; Chordata; Mammalia; Primates; Hominidae. The record is from RNAcentral.